RNAcentral lists this long non-coding RNA (358 nucleotides) under Manihot esculenta (cassava). RNAcentral describes it as "long non-coding RNA (MESC_LNC007019)". Lineage: Eukaryota; Viridiplantae; Streptophyta; Magnoliopsida; Malpighiales; Euphorbiaceae. The record is from RNAcentral.
GCCACGAAAGAGUUUCUCACCUAAGGAAUUCCAGUUGCAAUUAAAUUCAACAUCAAAAGAGGAAUCACAAGCCAAAUUAAAAAGGGAUUUCAAAACCCUAGAAGGAUGGAACUCUUCAACUAUAAAAGGGCAGCCUCCAAACCAGCAAAGGCAUCUUCUGCUGAGGAAUUGAACUCGCCAGAAAAUCUCCAGCAUCUUGCUUUUUCUUUUCCUUUCAUCUUUUUGUGUAUUUAGUCCACCAUGAGUGGCUAAACUCUUUUCUUUUCUAGUUGAAGUUGAUAAUAUUCAGAUUUGUGAUGAAUUGGGAGGUUUAAUACUCCAUUGUUGAACUCUUGUUUGUUUCAAUAUUUAUGCAAAC